This 337-nucleotide long non-coding RNA is filed under the name Nicotiana tabacum (common tobacco). RNAcentral describes it as "long non-coding RNA (NTAB_LNC019119)". The record is from RNAcentral. Lineage: Eukaryota; Viridiplantae; Streptophyta; Magnoliopsida; Solanales; Solanaceae.
UUCACUCGAUUGUCAUAGGGAUUUCUCUAGGUGCUUCAAAUAAUACUUGCACAAUUAAAGGACUCGUUGCUGCACUUUGCUUUCAUCAAAUGUUUGAAGGAAUGGGACUUGGUGGUUGCAUUCUCCAGGCAAGUUUUCAUUUUACAACAUAUAAUAAUAAAAAUAAUUCUCGAUCGGUUCACUUUCACUAAUUCAAAUGCACAUUCAGGCCGAGUACAAGUUCUUGAAGAAGGCAAUAAUGGCAUUCUUCUUCGCAGUAACAACUCCAUUCGGUAUAGCACUUGGGAUAGCACUUUCAAGCACUUACGAGGAAAAUAGCCCUCGGGCAUUAAUAACC